GAUGAACGCUGGCGGCGUGCCUAAUACAUGCAAGUCGAGCGAACGGACGAGGAGCUUGCUUCUCUGAUGUUGGCGGCGGACGGGUGAGUAACACGUGGAUAACCUACCUAUAAGACUGGGAUAACUUCGGGAAACCGGAGCUAAUACCGGAUAAUAUUUUGAACCGCAUGGUUCAAAAGUGAAAGACGGUCUUGCUGUCACUUAUAGAUGGAUCCGCGCUGCAUUAGCUAGUUGGUAAGGUAACGGCUUACCAAGGCAACGAUGCAUAGCCGACCUGAGAGGGUGAUCGGCCACACUGGAACUGAGACACGGUCCAGACUCCUACGGGAGGCAGCAGUAGGGAAUCUUCCGCAAUGGGCGAAAGCCUGACGGAGCAACGCCGCGUGAGUGAUGAAGGUCUUCGGAUCGUAAAACUCUGUUAUUAGGGAAGAACAUAUGUGUAAGUAACUGUGCACAUCUUGACGGUACCUAAUCAGAAAGCCACGGCUAACUACGUG
Molecule: ribosomal RNA, 497 nt
Filed under: uncultured bacterium
Lineage: Bacteria
Description: partial 16S ribosomal RNA
Rfam family: Bacterial small subunit ribosomal RNA
Source: RNAcentral